This is a small nuclear RNA of Amblyraja radiata (thorny skate), 164 nucleotides long. RefSeq annotates it as U1 spliceosomal RNA. The record is from RefSeq and is a predicted model, not a curated record. The transcript has a single exon. NCBI's taxonomy places the organism in Eukaryota, Metazoa, Chordata, Chondrichthyes, Rajiformes, Rajidae.
AUACUAACCCGGCAGGGGGUAAUCGGUGGUCAAGCUGGUCACUCUCCCAAGGCAAGGCUAUCCCAUUGCACUUCAGGUGUGCAAACACCUGUGAUUCCCACAUAUGCAGGGUACUCAACUGCAAAAUUUGUGGUAGUGGAGGACUGCGUUCAUGUAUAAUUUUU